This 200-nucleotide ribosomal RNA is filed under the name Escherichia coli. RNAcentral describes it as "partial 16S ribosomal RNA". It matches the Rfam family "Bacterial small subunit ribosomal RNA", at positions 1 to 208 of the family's 1533-position model. The record is from RNAcentral. Lineage: Bacteria; Pseudomonadati; Pseudomonadota; Gammaproteobacteria; Enterobacterales; Enterobacteriaceae. RNAcentral also lists the same sequence under 1 other name.
AAAUUGAAGAGUUUGAUCAUGGCUCAGAUUGAACGCUGGCGGCAGGCCUAACACAUGCAAGUCGAACGGUAACAGGAAGCAGCUUGCUGCUUCGCUGACGAGUGGCGGACGGGUGAGUAAUGUCUGGGAAACUGCCUGAUGGAGGGGGAUAACUACUGGAAACGGUAGCUAAUACCGCAUAAUGUCGCAAGACCAAAGAG